RNAcentral lists this ribosomal RNA (560 nucleotides) under uncultured bacterium. Its description in RNAcentral is "bacterial SSU rRNA". It matches the Rfam family "Bacterial small subunit ribosomal RNA", at positions 339 to 917 of the family's 1533-position model. The record is from RNAcentral.
CUACGGGAGGCAGCAGUGGGGAAUCUUGGACAAUGGGGGAAACCCUGAUCCAGCCAUGCCGCGUGAGUGAUGAAGGCCUUAGGGUCGUAAAACUCUUUCGCCUGUGAUGAUAAUGACAGUAGCAGGUAAAGAAACCCCGGCUAACUCCGUGCCAGCAGCCGCGGUAAUACGGAGGGGGUUAGCGUUGUUCGGAAUUACUGGGCGUAAAGCGCACGUAGGCGGACUAUUAAGUCAGAGGUGAAAUCCCGGGGCUCAACCCCGGAACUGCCUUUGAUACUGGUAGUCUAGAGUUCGAGAGAGGUGAGUGGAAUUCCAAGUGUAGAGGUGAAAUUCGUAGAUAUUUGGAGGAACACCAGUGGCGAAGGCGGCUCACUGGCUCGAUACUGACGCUGAGGUGCGAAAGUGUGGGGAGCAAACAGGAUUAGAUACCCUGGUAGUCCACACCGUAAACGAUGAAUGCCAGUCGUCGGGUAGUAUACUAUUCGGUGACACACCUAACGGAUUAAGCAUUCCGCCUGGGGAGUACGGUCGCAAGAUUAAAACUCAAAGGAAUUGACGGA